This 207-nucleotide long non-coding RNA is filed under the name Sorghum bicolor (sorghum). RNAcentral describes it as "long non-coding RNA (SBIC_LNC012053)". Lineage: Eukaryota; Viridiplantae; Streptophyta; Magnoliopsida; Poales; Poaceae. The record is from RNAcentral.
AUGCCGUUUAUUAAUAGUAAAACAUAAUAAUAGAACUUAAGUAGUCAAGUAGACUGCAAUGUUCUAUUAUUAUUAGUUUUAAUAUGCAUUAUUAUCUUUUUAAUUUUUAAAAUAGUAAAAUGUAUCCGCGUAUCAUAUUUUUUAGAAAAUUGCCGUAUCCGUAUCCUUCCGAUACUGAUACGCGUAUCCGUAUCCGUGCUGCAUAGA